Molecule: ribosomal RNA, 402 nt
Filed under: uncultured bacterium
Lineage: Bacteria
Description: partial 16S ribosomal RNA
Rfam family: Bacterial small subunit ribosomal RNA
Source: RNAcentral
UGGGGAAUUUUGGACAAUGGGCGCAAGCCUGAUCCAGCCAUGCCGCGUGCGGGAAGAAGGCCUUCGGUUGUAACCGCUUUUGNCAGGGAAGAAAUCUUCUGAGUUAAUACCUCGGGAGGAUGACGGUACCUGAAGAAUAAGCACCGGCUAACUACGUGCCAGCAGCCGCGGUAAUACGUAGGGUGCAAGCGUUAAUCGGAAUUACUGGGCGUAAAGCGUGCGCAGGCGGUUUUGUAAGACAGAGGUGAAAUCCCCGGGCUCAACCUGGGAACUGCCUUUGUGACUGCAAGGCUUGAGUGCGGCAGAGGGGGAUGGAAUUCCGCGUGUAGCAGUGAAAUGCGUAGAUAUGCGGAGGAACACCGAUGGCGAAGGAAUCCCCUGGGCCUGCACUGACGCUCAUGC